RNAcentral lists this ribosomal RNA (440 nucleotides) under uncultured bacterium. RNAcentral describes it as "bacterial SSU rRNA". It matches the Rfam family "Bacterial small subunit ribosomal RNA", at positions 338 to 794 of the family's 1533-position model. The record is from RNAcentral.
CCUACGGGAGGCAGCAGUAGGGAAUCUUGCGCAAUGGGCGAAAGCCUGACGCAGCAACGCCGCGUGGGGGAUGAAUGCCUUCGGGUUGUAAACCCCUUUCAGCAGGGACGAAAAUGACGGUACCUGCAGAAGAAGCUCCGGCCAACUACGUGCCAGCAGCCGCGGUAAUACGUAGGGAGCGAGCGUUGUCCGGAAUUAUUGGGCGUAAAGAGCUCGUAGGCGGUUCAGUAAGUCGGGUGUGAAAACUCAAGGCUCAACCUUGAGACGCCACUCGAUACUGCUGUGACUUGAGUCCGGUAGAGGAGUGUGGAAUUCCUGGUGUAGCGGUGAAAUGCGCAGAUAUCAGGAGGAACACCAGCGGCGAAGGCGGCACUCUGGGCCGGUACUGACGCUGAGGAGCGAAAGCAUGGGGAGCAAACAGGAUUAGAUACCCUAGUAGU